GGUGAGUAGAAUCCUUCCCUUCAGGCUUUUUAUAGUAAACACUGUUGUAACGGAACCACUGGCACCCCGACCGGGUACCUUCCGCCGACGGAUGCUCCUAGUGAUUUCCGAGAACUCCAAGCACUCUGCCUGACACCAUAACCACUGCAGACCCCACGAACUGCCGCAGCUUGGUUGGGGUCUCGGCGUCUCCACCCACUCUGGACCCAGGACCAGGGUCCAGCUUCCAGCAGGUCGACCUCUCU
This is a non-coding RNA of Pelobates cultripes (western spadefoot toad), 245 nucleotides long. The record is from the annotation of a GenBank genome assembly. NCBI's taxonomy places the organism in Eukaryota, Metazoa, Chordata, Amphibia, Anura, Pelobatidae.